AUGGUUGAAGGAUUGGACGCGGACAUCGCUAACCUGAAAUUCCUCCUCCUCUGCUUCCAACAAAUGUCUGGCCUCAAGAUUAACUUCGACAAGAGUGAUGUGAUAGUAAUGGGUUACUCCCCGGCAGAGGCCCUCGACAUUGCCAACCGCCUCAACUACCGCCUGGGCUCCUUCCCCUCAACUUACUUGGGAACGCCUAUUAGUGACUCGCGUCUUACCGUUGCGGACUUGCGGCCUACGGUGGCCAAGCUGCAAACGUGCAUUGAGCCCUAGCAGGGUAGGUGGCUGUCGAAGGUGGCCCGGACGAUCCUCAUCAACUCCUCCCUCUCCAGCCUCCUCUUGUUCCUCAUGAGCUUCUAUAGCCUCCAUGAGACGCUUCACCACGAGAUCGCCAAAGUCCAAUCUCGCUUCUAUUGGGCUGGUGAUAACAAUAAGUAG
RNAcentral lists this ribosomal RNA (438 nucleotides) under Triticum aestivum (bread wheat). RNAcentral describes it as "partial small subunit ribosomal RNA". The record is from RNAcentral. Lineage: Eukaryota; Viridiplantae; Streptophyta; Magnoliopsida; Poales; Poaceae.